AAUAGCUUAAAAAAACGACUUUACAGCUAUUUUGUAAGAAAUAAAAUGGUAAACCUAAAACACCUCAAAGCAGUUGUUGAGGUUUUGAUUUUUUUUGUAAAAAAAAAUGAAAUAAACCUAUCAAAGCGUAUCAUCGAUUGUUCUCCUUCAAAUUCAAUAUCUCAUCUUUCUUCCUCAAAUCAUUCUCAAGAUUCAAGGAGCAAGCAAUUGCAGAUAAGCCGGGAUGGGAAGCAGUGGUGGCAUGGACUAUGGAGGACAAAAAUGCUACAAGCCAAGGGAGAGCAAGGAAAAUAUUUGCUACAAGUGCGGAGCAAGCAGAAGUAUAUACAGUCUGGUGGCCAAUUAAAGAGAACAUCAGCCAAUAUAAGAAUAUCAGAAUCAGAUCAGACAGUGAGAAUGUAGUGAAAGUGCUAAACUCGCCGAAAACGUCGUCGGUGGAGCAAGUGUGGUCAUGGACAUCUUAGAUAUGAUAAGGAGCUUAGAUUAUUUUAUUUGCAUAAAGGUACGAAGAGAUUGUACAGUUUGGAUCAAGUAGGAGUUUUAUUUGUGAUCGAUCGUUCAUUUGCCCCUUAGGCAGUAUAUGCAAUUAAUAACAAUGGAUCCGAGGACCUAGUGACUCCUUCUGUAAGUCAACAAGAACUUCAAAGAAUGGCUUGAUUUCGAGAUUGUUUGGCAAAACGAUUGUUGGAAAGACAAAAUUCACAAUGAAAGUUAUCAACGAGAAAUAAAUAUUACAUUGCAUUUGACUAUUUUA
Long non-coding RNA from Chenopodium quinoa (quinoa), 754 nucleotides. RefSeq lists it as uncharacterized. NCBI's taxonomy places the organism in Eukaryota, Viridiplantae, Streptophyta, Magnoliopsida, Caryophyllales, Amaranthaceae. The record is from RefSeq and is a predicted model, not a curated record. The transcript has 2 exons.